UAAUUGCGUGCUGGACUGGUAAACUUCAGACUAAUAUUGCCUGCUGCACUAUGUUAAUCUGGCUGAUGAAUUUACUUCUAAUGGCUACAGUUCUUGGUAAGUAACUUAACUGUUAAGCACUGAAGCAACAUGAGCAUGUUUUUAACUAGAAUAAACACACUCCAGCAGUGGGUGGAGCUUAUAGUUGAGAGUGAGAGGCAGAGUGAAACAGCUACAGUACAGUUAUAAAGAUUAUAUUGUUGUCAUCACUGUCUCUGUAAAGACAUCAUGUUUCUUUUCACCUUUCUAAUAAUCCAGUUUUGCAUAGGUAAUUCCUUUGGUGACACAAUACAACCAUGGUUUCUAGAAAAACAUGAUUCUGAGGGUGAAAAUGUGACUCUGUCCUGUAACUACAGCCUCACUAGCGGCACUAGUGUUACUAUCCAGUGGUAUCGCCAGUAUCCCGGAGCAAAACCUGAGUUUUUACUUUUUGUCACUGAAUAUUCUAGCAAAUCUGAGCCUGAACUUCGACUAUUUUCAGAAGCUAAAAAAGAAAUCAAAUGUGUGGAUCUGAUCGUCUCCUCUGCUGCUGUAUCAGACUCUGCUCUGUAUUACUGUGCUCUGGUGCCCACAGUGACAGGAAACACAGCAACAAUGUACAAAAACCUUCCCUUUUAUCUAGAAAAAUUAAAACACAAACACACACAUACAGAGACAAAGACUAAGAGAGAAACUGUAGAGUAUUUAUAG
Molecule: non-coding RNA, 729 nt
Organism: Carassius auratus (goldfish)
Lineage: Eukaryota; Metazoa; Chordata; Actinopteri; Cypriniformes; Cyprinidae
Source: the annotation of a RefSeq genome assembly